RNAcentral lists this ribosomal RNA (400 nucleotides) under uncultured marine stramenopile. Its description in RNAcentral is "partial small subunit ribosomal RNA". It matches the Rfam family "Eukaryotic small subunit ribosomal RNA", at positions 30 to 432 of the family's 1831-position model. The record is from RNAcentral.
GCUUGUCUCAAAGAUUAAGCCAUGCAUGUCUCAGCAUAAGCUUCAACACGGUGAAACUGCAAAUGGCUCAUUAAAGCAGUUACAAUUUAUUUGAUGGUCACUGUUACAUGGAUAACUGUGGUAAUUCUAGAGCUAAUACAUGCGUAAAAUCCUGACUUUCUUGGAAGGGAUGUAUAUAUUAGAAUGAAACCAAUCGGCUUCGGCUGUAUUGUGGUGAGUCAUAAUAUCUAAUCGGAUCGCAGAGGCUUCGGCCGGCGAUGAAUCAUUCAAGUUUCUGCCCUAUCAGCUUUCGAUGGUAGUGUAUUGGACUACCAUGGCGGUGACGGGUAACGAAGAAUAAGGGUUCGGUUUCGGAGAGGGAGCCUGAGAGAUGGCUACCACAUCCAAGGAAGGCAGCAGG